GGCGACAUGGCCGAGUGGUUAUGGCGGUCGGUUCAAGAUCUCUAUCUUGCCUGUUAAGCGGGUUUAAUUCGACUAACGAAAGUUGCGAGGGUUCGAGUCCCUCUGUCGUCA
Cordyceps militaris CM01 is the source of this 111-nucleotide transfer RNA. It matches the Rfam family "tRNA". Rfam says of the family: Transfer RNA (tRNA) molecules are approximately 80 nucleotides in length. Their secondary structure includes four short double-helical elements and three loops (D, anti-codon, and T loops). Further hydrogen bonds mediate the characteristic L-shaped molecular structure. tRNAs have two regions of fundamental functional importance: the anti-codon, which is responsible for specific mRNA codon recognition, and the 3' end, to which the tRNAs corresponding amino acid is attached (by aminoacyl-tRNA synthetases). tRNAs cope with the degeneracy of the genetic code in two manners: having more than one tRNA (with a specific anti-codon) for a particular amino acid; and 'wobble' base-pairing, i.e. permitting non-standard base-pairing at the 3rd anti-codon position. The record is from Rfam. Lineage: Eukaryota; Fungi; Ascomycota; Sordariomycetes; Hypocreales; Cordycipitaceae.